RNAcentral lists this ribosomal RNA (463 nucleotides) under uncultured delta proteobacterium. RNAcentral describes it as "bacterial SSU rRNA". It matches the Rfam family "Bacterial small subunit ribosomal RNA", at positions 8 to 490 of the family's 1533-position model. Lineage: Bacteria; Deltaproteobacteria. The record is from RNAcentral.
AGAGUUUGAUCAUGGCUCAGAGUGAACGCUGGCGGCGUGCUUAACACAUGCAAGUCGAACGAUGAUAAAGAGCUUGCUCUUUUGAUUAGUGGCGCACGGGUGAGUAAUAUAUAGAUAAUGUACCUCUUAGUCUGGGAUAGCCACUGGAAACGGUGAUUAAUACUAGAUACUCCUUCUAACUUUAAGGUUAGUCGGGAAAGUUUUUUCGCUAAGAGAUCGGUCUAUAUCCUAUCAGUUAGUUGGUGAGGUAAUGGCUCACCAAGGCAAUGACAGGUAGCGGGUUUGAGAGGAUGAUCCGCCACACUGGUACUGAGACACGGACCAGACUCCUACGGGAGGCAGCAGUGAGGAAUAUUGCACAAUGGGGGAAACCCUGAUGCAGCAACGCCGCGUGGAGGAUGACGCAUUUCGGUGUGUAAACUCCUUUUAUGAGUCAAGAAAAUGACGGUAGCUCAUGAAUAAG